Molecule: ribosomal RNA, 386 nt
Filed under: uncultured bacterium
Lineage: Bacteria
Description: bacterial SSU rRNA
Rfam family: Bacterial small subunit ribosomal RNA
Source: RNAcentral
AUUGUACGCUGGCGGCAUGCCUUACACAUGCAAGUCGAACGGCAGCACGGGAGCAAUCCUGGUGGCGAGUGGCGAACGGGUGAGUAAUAUAUCGGAACGUGCCCAGUGAUGGGGGAUAGCCCGGCGAAAGCCGGAUUAAUACCGCAUACGACCUACGGGUGAAAGCAGGGGAUCGCAAGACCUUGCGUCAUUGGAGCGGCCGAUAUCAGAUUAGCUGUUGGUGGGGUAAAAGACCUACCAAGGCGACGAUCUGUAGCUGGUCUGAGAGGACGACCAGCCACACUGGGACUGAGACACGGCCCAGACUCCUACGGGAGGCAGCAGUGGGGAAUUUUGGACAAUGGGCGCAAGCCUGAUCCAGCCAUGCCGCGUGCGGGAAGAAGGCC